RNAcentral lists this long non-coding RNA (322 nucleotides) under Gossypium raimondii (Peruvian cotton). RNAcentral's name for it is "long non-coding RNA (GRAI_LNC003601)". Lineage: Eukaryota; Viridiplantae; Streptophyta; Magnoliopsida; Malvales; Malvaceae. The record is from RNAcentral.
CCCAAAGGGCUAUAGAAAGAAAAAGGAUGUCUUUUUCAGCUAUAGAUCUUCUCCAUUUCUAGGUUUCUAGAAAUGUUGUAAAGUGGUACUCGAAAUCACUGUUAGUGUGAUCUCAGAGCGGAGUAUCAAGAGUUAAGUCUGAAACCUCUGGCAUUCUUACUUGUAGUUCAGAGCUUAAGAGAACGCUCACGGGGUUAACCGUCCGUGGCGGAUCAGUCUACUUAUGUGAAUCAAAGGCUACAUGAGAACCACUUAAACACCUUACGGAAGUUGGCCUUAUAAGUUGUUUAACGAGAUCUUCUUGUGACAACUAUUAUAGGAG